GUUCAUUCAAGAGCGGAGAACACUUGCAACAUCCGAAAAAGAUUAUAAGAAUAUUUGGAUUGUCUUACUGAGCUUACUGUUUCCGCUGUGCUGUUGCGCGGCAGCAGUUGCAACUAUUUGAGAACCUGAGAAAGGGGAGGAGUCUGUUUACUUAGAUCGGAACACAUUACUGUCCAGCAACUUUUUUGUCUCCUCUAAUCUGUAUGCACUAAGGUCAUAAAGAUUUUCAAGGUGGCUUCAAAGCCGCCCUGACGACGAGGAAGCUUAGACUGAAACAGUUUACCUUGGAACUUGAAGGGAGGCCCCAACAGGUGAUUGCGAUGAUCCGUGCAAUGUUCAUUGCUUUUCAGCUAGUAUAACCAGUAAAGAUUCAUCGAAGCUUCUCCAAGGUCUUUGUGGGCCUGGCUGAACAGAAACACCUGCUCCACCCUUCACGCAGGCUGAACAGAAACACCUGCUCCACCCUUCACGCAGGGGCUCCUGAGAAAGCACAGCAAUGGGUGAAGCAAGUGUAUUGGCUGCCUAUGACAUGCUGCGGAAGCCAAGCUUCUUCCUCACGAAUGUCUUCAGGUCUGAGUCCCUUGUGCCUGCCUCAGAGUCACCCGCUCAUAUUGCUUAGGGAACACCUGAAGAAUGUCCACCUUUUUCUGGGA
RNAcentral lists this long non-coding RNA (653 nucleotides) under Coccomyxa subellipsoidea. Its description in RNAcentral is "long non-coding RNA (CSUB_LNC000719)". The record is from RNAcentral. Lineage: Eukaryota; Viridiplantae; Chlorophyta; Trebouxiophyceae; Coccomyxaceae.